GCAUUAUACAGCGAAACUGCGAAUGGCUCAUUAUAUAAGUUAUCGUUUAUUUGAUAGUGCCUUACUACUUGGAUAACCGUGGUAAUUCUAGAGCUAAUACAUGCUGAAAGCCCCGACUCACGGAGGGGCGUAUUUAUUAGAUUAAAAACCAAUGCCCUUCGGGGCUCCUUGGUGAUUCAUGAUAACUUCUCGAAUCGCACGGCCUUGCGCCGGCGAUGGUUCAUUCAAAUUUCUUCCCUAUCAACUUUCGAUGUUUGGGUAGUGGCCAAACAUGGUGGCAACGGGUAACGGAGGGUUAGGGCUCGACCCCGGAGAAGGAGCCUGAGAAACGGCUCCUACAUCCAAGGAAGGCAGCAGGCGCGCAAAUUACCCAAUCCCGACUCGGGGAGGUAGUGACAAUAAAUACUGAUGCAGGGCUCUUUAGGGUCUUGCAAUUGGAAUGAGUACAAUUUAAAUCCCUUAACGAGGAACAAUUGGAGGGCAAGUCUGGUGCCAGCAGCCGCGGUAACUCCAGCUCCAAUAGCGUAUAUUAAAGUUGUUGUGGUUAAAAAGCUCGUAGUUGAACCUUGGGCCUGGCCGUCCGGUCCGCCUCACCGCGUGCACUGGCACGGCCGGGCCUUCCCACCGCGGAAUCGCAUGCCCUUUACUGGGCGUGUCGGGGAAGCGGUACUUUUACUGUGAAAAAAUUAGAGUGCUCUAAGCAGGCCUAUGCUCGAAUACAUUAGCAUGGAAUAAUAGAAUAGGACAGGCGUUCUAUUUUGUUGGUUUCUAGGACGUCUGUAAUGAUUAACAGAAACAAUCGGGGGCGUCAGUAUUGCAUCGUCAGAGGUGAAAUUCUUAGAUCGACGCAAGACUAACUACUGCGAAAGCAUUCGCCAAGGGUGUUUUCAUUAAUCAGGAACGAAAGUUAGGGGAUCGAAGACGAUCAGAUACCGUCGUAGUCUUAACCAUAAACUAUGCCGACUAGGGAUCGGGCGGUGUUAAUUUUUGACCCGCUCGGCACCUUACGAGAAAUCUUAAGUGCUUGGGCUCC
Molecule: ribosomal RNA, 1033 nt
Filed under: Microthecium sepedonioides
Lineage: Eukaryota; Fungi; Ascomycota; Sordariomycetes; Coronophorales; Ceratostomataceae
Description: SSU rRNA
Rfam family: Eukaryotic small subunit ribosomal RNA
Source: RNAcentral